Molecule: ribosomal RNA, 330 nt
Filed under: Triticum aestivum (bread wheat)
Lineage: Eukaryota; Viridiplantae; Streptophyta; Magnoliopsida; Poales; Poaceae
Description: partial small subunit ribosomal RNA
Source: RNAcentral
AUGAGGCCCCACAUAUGUGAAGCGGGCAAGCUGGUCUGCCAAAUAUUUGGCGAGUGCUUUAGCGCAAACGGCAUGCCCAGGCGUUGGCGAAAAUUACAUGGGAGCAUGAGGACUUGCUUUGGCGAACCAAAAUUUUGGCAUCUAUAUGCAAGCGGAAGGCAAAUCUCACAGACAAGUCACAAAAUUGGUAUGGCUAGUAUUGGUAGUAACCAGACACCUGAAGUCUUACCAAAGAUAAAAUUUACUUUCAAAGUCAAUUAUAUUGGCGUUGCAACAACUGGCAAUCCCUUGCAAGUUCAUAAAUUCAGUUACUUUAUUGACUGUCCCUAA